UGAUAAACAAACCCAAAAAUAAUGACUUAGCCCAAAGUGCUAAUACACACAUAAAACAAGCGAAAGAAAGAAAGAAAAACAAACUACUACGCUAAAGGUCUAAUUAGGGAAGUGGACAGAGAAAAGGACUCUCAAUCCUUGUAGAGUCCGCUGGAAGUCUCUAUCUCCACACCGUUUCCAAAUUGCAUCUCUACCGUCGGUGCUCCAUUUAUCUACCCCGAG
RNAcentral lists this unclassified non-coding RNA (222 nucleotides) under Hevea brasiliensis (rubber tree). Lineage: Eukaryota; Viridiplantae; Streptophyta; Magnoliopsida; Malpighiales; Euphorbiaceae. The record is from RNAcentral.